GACUGCUCUGGGGUCCAGACUGCGGAGCGUCCAGCCCGGGACAGGCUGGUUCACCUGCUGUUCACUGUUGGGAAUCAGGGCUCAUGGCUCCGCCCAGUGCAGCCCUAAAGCAGGCCUUCUACUGCACAAGAGGGCUGCUCGACACUCGUCUAUUUUCUUUUCUUUCGCUGAAGACUAAAAGACUUGAAGAACCGUACACAGGCCUACUGCUUCAAUGAAAGUCCCUCCAAAACGGCCCAGUUGUCACUAGAGACAGGUGCCAUUCCUUGAAGUCACGUGUUGGGCGCUGUGGUCAAGGAAACAAAACCAAGACCCCAAACAUCAGUUUUGGGGAGCUGUCCAUGAGCAUCAGAGUCUUAACGCCAACCCAGCCAGACCACCAGGGAGCAGCCUGUAGUUUGAAAAAUCCAGACGAACUGAAACAGUCGGAUUAAUUGUGCUGAUGCUGUGGGGAGGGCCCCCAAGGAGGCUGCGCGAGGCUGGAUACAGGCAGGAGGGAGGCGUCUUUUGAAAGGUGAGGUGAAUCCUAGGAUCCUGGAAUUUCAGGAUGGGAACUGAGGCUCAGGGAGAGCACGCUGGCCAAGGACGCAGUGCUGCAGGCGUGAGAGCAGGGGAGGAAGACAUCACACACAAUAUGUCCAGCAUGUGCAGACUUACCACCUGCACUUAUUGCUUCAUUCUCACCAGAAUCCCCAGAAGCUGGAGCCCCAAGAACCACUGAAGAGUUUGGAAUCUGUCCAGCAGGAAAGAGGGGCUCGCUGCAUGCUGGAUCCCACAGCCUGAUCUGUGUCCUGAUCCUAUCUCAGAGCACAGAUCCCUUCCUGGAUCCCCCAGUCUGUUCUGUGUCCUGAUCCUCUUCUCAGAGUACCGAUCCUGUCUGGAUCCCACACCUGGAUCUGUGUCCUGAUCUCAUCUCAGAGCACAGACUCUGUCCUGGAUCCCACACUCUGAUCUGUGUCCUGAUCCCAUCUCAGAGCACAGACCCUGUCCUGGAUCCCACAUUUUGAUCUGUGUCCUCAUCCCAUCUCAGAGUAUAGAUCCCUUCCUGGAUCCCACACCUGGAUCUGUGUCCUGAUCUGAUCUCAGAGCACAGACUCUGUCCUGGAUCUCAUACUCUGAUUUGUGUCCUGAUCCCAUCUCAGAGCACAGACCCUGUCCUGGAUCCCCUACUCUAAUCUGUGUCCUGAUCCUCUUCUCAGAGUAUAGAUCCCCUCCUGGAUCCCACACCCUGAUCCGUCUCCUGAUCCCGCCUCAGAGCACAGAUUGCUUCCGGGGUCCCACACCCUGAUCUGUGUCCUGAAACUCCCCUCAGAGAGCAGCCCUGUCCUGGCCCCUCCACCUCCAUCCAGCCUGCCCGCUCCAGUGCAGUUUGUCUUACAACCAUGGAGUCCCUACCGGGGGUGCUCCCUUCGGUCGGUCCCAAGAGCAAUGAAGUCUCAUUUCUGCCCCUUGCUGUGUAAGUUACCCAGGUGCUGGAGGCAGUGCAUAAGGUUCUCUGUGCAUGAUACAGUGACACACGCCUGGCUCACAUGGAUCAGACACAACUCACCUGAGGGUCCCAGCACAGAGCCAGAGAUGCUCAACAGGCACGAUUCUGCAGUCCCUUUCCUCCUCAAUUAGCUGCAGGUGAGCUUUUAAACUUUUUAGGGUUUAACACCUCUUAUUUUAGUGUAUCUCAGGUACUUUUCUGCUUUCGAACGCUGGAUGCCACCACAUAUUUUUGCUCUAAACAUGAAGACUUCUCAAUUAUUCCUCUUUCCUCGAACACUCCAGGUACUUUCACUAAAUCUUUUAAACAUCACAUGACCUAUUCCAGGAAUUUCCCGACACUCUCCAACUACUGGUCCUUCCAAUUUUUCCAAUCUCCCUUCACCCCCAUUCCCUCAGCUCAGUUUACUUCAUGUGCAAAUCGGGGGGGCAGUGAGGGUGCUGAAUGGGUAGAAAUGUGCCCCCCAAAAGAUAUGUCUAAGUCCUCAUCUCUAAUUCCUGGGAAUGUGACCUUAUUUGAAAAUAGGGUCUUUGCAGACGUAAACAAGUUAAGACCAGGUCAUACUGAAUUAGCGUGAGCCUGAAAUCCAGUGAUGGGUGUCUUUGUAAGCAGGCCAUGUGAAGAUGGACAUGCAGGAUGAAGGCCAUGUGGCUACAGAGACAGAGAUUGGAAUGAUGUGUUUACGAGGCCAGGACCACUGUAAUUGCUGGCCAUCAGCGGAAGCCAAGAGAAGGCAGGAAGGAUUUUCCCCAGGAGUCUUCAGAGAGCCUGGUCCUGCUGAUGCCUUGAUUUCAGACUCUGGCUCCCAGAACUGUGAGAGAAUAAACUCCUGUUGUUUCAGGUCACCCAGUUUGUGGCAAUUUGUUACAGCAGCCCCUGGACUAACACAGGCCUGGAAACACCCAUGAACACCCACCACAAACUUGGCCUGAAUGUUAGGAAACACAUUGCAACGUUACUUCUCUGCUUGUUUUAUAAUGAUUAUUUCCAGUCUCUUGUUCAGUCUCUUGUAGAUAAAUUUGAGACCCUUCAAUGAGAACUGGGACUUGUCAGCUCCAGCUUUUUCCUGCCCUUUCUCUGCCACACCUGACUGGUCAAAUUGACAAGGUCCCCCCAUCUCCUCCUUUGCAUUCUGCUGGUCUAUGGUGCGUCGUCUCCUUGGAGUACUGAGAUAAUUACCAACAGAUGCUGUCCUAAUCUUUCUCCUCUUUGAGUUAAUUCAAUUUAGCAUUUACUGGGUGUCCACUCAGAGCAGCCUGGCUCAAGGGUGAGCAGGCGGUGCUUAUUCUGGAAGACCUGAAACCUCAUAGACCCAACCAAAGAUGAAUUAAGUGAACAAAGGACUGUUAUGCAAAGAGGAAAGCAACACCCUUUCUGGGAGAGGAGCAAAAUGUGUCCCAGGCGAGGCCCUGAGGCCCCACUGGAGGACAGGUAUGCAGAAGCCUCAUCCCUGCAGAGGUGUUCACUGC
Equus quagga is the source of this 2958-nucleotide long non-coding RNA. RefSeq lists it as uncharacterized. The transcript is spliced from 3 exons. NCBI's taxonomy places the organism in Eukaryota, Metazoa, Chordata, Mammalia, Perissodactyla, Equidae. The record is from RefSeq and is a predicted model, not a curated record.